RNAcentral lists this long non-coding RNA (869 nucleotides) under Homo sapiens (human). RNAcentral describes it as "HSALNT0301440". Lineage: Eukaryota; Metazoa; Chordata; Mammalia; Primates; Hominidae. The record is from RNAcentral.
UAAAGUGCACCGUGUAAUUCGUUUCUUGGAGGCCGUUUCCCCGACCACCCCUGGUAGAGGGCUGCCUUUUGCUUUCAAACCCCUAGCCCUCGAGUCUAAGCGCAUAGGCACUCCUAAGAAACAUCUGUGGAUACAGGAUUUUUCAACUGCGCUUGACUUUAUUUACAACUCAUUUGAAUGUUUUUUCUGGGUAGUGGAAAUGAUUCUCAAAAAGAUGAAGAAAUUCAGUCUUCUAUAUGGCGAAUUUCUGCCUCAGAGAGUGAGAUUUGUUCAUUGCAAAGAGCAGCUGUUCCCUUAACCCUUAUCAAUGCUUAAGAUGGAAGAUGUUGCUUCUCAUUCCAUUAGAGUUGCCCAGUUUCGCUCUGUCGCCCAGGCUGGAGUGCAGUGGCACAAUCUCGGUUCACUGCAACCUCUGCCUCCCGGGUUCAAGCAGUUCUCUUGCCUCAGCCUCCCAAGUAACUGGUACUACAGUUUGUCCUCGGCUGUUACAGAGAAUUGAUACAAAAAAUGAUCAUGUGAAGAAUUUGCAUCUUCUGCAGAACUACCGGUAUCAGUCAGCAGUAGGAGAUUGCCAGACACGGUGGCUCACGCCUAUAAUCCUAGCACUUUGGGAGGCUGAGGUGUGUGGAUCACUUGAGCCCAGGAGUUCAAGACCAGCCUGAGCAACAUGGUGAAACCCCAUCUCUGCAAAAAAUACAAAAAUUAGCCAGGCGUGGUGGUGUGUACCUGUGGUCCCAGCUGCUGGGAAGGCUGAGGUGGGAGGAACAUUUGAGCCCAGAAGUUGAGCCGUGAUCACGCCACUGCACUCCAGCCUGGAUGACACAGCAAGACCUUGUCUCAAAAAAUAAAAUAAAAUAAAUUUUAAAAAA